This 877-nucleotide unclassified non-coding RNA is filed under the name Bombus terrestris (buff-tailed bumblebee). RNAcentral describes it as "misc RNA ENSBTSG00005028626.1". Lineage: Eukaryota; Metazoa; Arthropoda; Insecta; Hymenoptera; Apidae. The record is from RNAcentral.
GUCUUCAAAUAUUUCCAGUCGAUCUAUGCUGUUACGCGAAGCCAGAGUCUUGCGGUUAAUCUAAUUUCCAUAAAAUGGAAAUCGCUAUCGGGUUUCGAUUUUUUCCUGGAAGUAUCUUUUAAAAAAAAAAAAAACAUUUAUUGCAAAUCAGCAACGAUUCAACGUACGAAACAGUUACGAAAUAACCAGGAACAAAAAUUCGUCUGUACGACAAGACUUCGUCGGUAUUCCCGUGACAUUGAAGCGUUUGAAGAUCUCUACGAAGAUUCCAUUUUUUUUUCUCUCUUACAGCGUUAUUAAUAGACACAAGUUGUUCGUCGCAUAAUUCUCAAUAGAUUGACUGGCUAGAACCAGUGUGAGAAAAAAAGAAAAUGAUACUCUGCAAUAAUGUGCACGUAUACCAAAUUUUCCUGGAAUGUUGGAAUACGUUUACAUAUAGUAGAGGUAAAUAGAUUGUCAAUAAUGCAGAAAUUAUAUUCUUAAACUUUGUAUGUAUCAUGUACAUAAAUUUUAGAAAUAUUUUCAAUGGAUCCACUAAUGUGUCUAAUUCGUACGUUCUACCCUGUAUACAUAUAAUGUUUCCAUCGCAUUCGUCCAGACAAAAUGCAAUAUUCGAAAAAGCUUCUCACAUUGGCGGCGCCUAUGGACUCGUUUAUUUAUAGUACGCCACGAUGUCUCGACAUCGGAGUGUAAACAUGUCGGUCUCCAUCUUUGUUGCAGAAAUAUUAAUAAACUAGACAAACGUCUCUGUAUAGGCAAUAGAGUGCGUACUCUUGGAUUCAUCGAAGAUGCUUGCACUUGCCACCAUGCCAUAUUAUUACGGGGUCUUAAUUCUAUUGUUAUCCUAGGGGGAAGUUUAAUUUCUUCUUGCCAAUCU